GACGAACGCUGGCGGCGUGCUUAACACAUGCAAGUCGAACGGUAAGGCCCUUCGGGGUACACGAGUGGCGAACGGGUGAGUAACACGUGGGUGAUCUGCCCUGCACUUCGGGAUAAGCCCGGGAAACUGGGUCUAAUACCGGAUAGGACCCUGGGAUGCAUGUCCUGGGGUGGAAAGCUUUUGCGGUGCGGGAUGGGCCCGCGGCCUAUCAGCUUGUUGGUGGGGUGAUGGCCUACCAAGGCGACGACGGGUAGCCGGCCUGGGAGGGUGACCGGCCACACUGGGACUGAGAUACGGCCCAGACUCCUACGGGAGGCAGCAGUGGGGAAUAUUGCACAAUGGGCGCAAGCCUGAUGCAGCGACGCCGCGUGAGGGAUGACGGCCUUCGGGUUGUAAACCUCUUUCAGCACCGACGAAGCGCAAGUGACGGUAGGUGCAGAAGAAGGACCGGCCAACUACGUGCCAGCCGCCGCUGUAA
Molecule: ribosomal RNA, 478 nt
Filed under: uncultured bacterium
Lineage: Bacteria
Description: partial 16S ribosomal RNA
Rfam family: Bacterial small subunit ribosomal RNA
Source: RNAcentral